This 328-nucleotide unclassified non-coding RNA is filed under the name soil metagenome. RNAcentral's name for it is "partial contains 5.8S ribosomal RNA, internal transcribed spacer 2, and large subunit ribosomal RNA". The stretch from base 1 to 120 matches the Rfam family "5.8S ribosomal RNA", at positions 35 to 154 of the family's 154-position model. The record is from RNAcentral.
GACGAAGAACGCAGCGAAAUGCGAUAAGUAAUGUGAAUUGCAGAAUUCAGUGAAUCAUCGAAUCUUUGAACGCACAUUGCGCCCCCUGGUAUUCCGGGGGGCAUGCCUGUCCGAGCGUCAUUACAACCCUCAAGCUCAGCUUGGUGUUGGGCCCCGCCGCCCCGGCGGGCCCUAAAGUCAGUGGCGGUGCCGUCCGGCUCCGAGCGUAGUAAUUCUUCUCGCUCUGGAGGUCCGGUCGUGUGCUCGCCAGCAACCCCCAAUUUUUUUCAGGUUGACCUCGGAUCAGGUAGGGAUACCCGCUGAACUUAAGCAUAUCAAUAAGCGGAGA